GCGUUACCAGGUCAGGGUCAUCCCACAUCCACAGCUAACAAUACCAACGUCGAUAUGUGUUCUCGGUCGCUAAGUCGUUCUGGGGGCCCGGGCAUAUUGUCCACGGGAGCCUCCCAGCUACUGUACAGGAUCUUACGUUUCACUCACAGGGAAAUGGAAGCACAAGGCCGUGGAGUGACUUCCCCCAAGGCCCGAGGCCGAGCCCUUCACCCCAGGAGUUGUGGGGAGGCCAGGCCCCAUGGGCUGGACGGUCUGGGAGCAGAAAGAGGGCCGGGGCCUGAACUGAGCCCGCUAGGGACCCCCCCCCCUCCGGGGGACGAGGCAGGCCGGAGAGCCACUGGGCUGUGCGGCCUGGUUAAGGAAGGGGGCUGGAGGGAUGGGCCUUGGGGCCGGGGGCGGGGGGUGUCUGGGGGCUCUGGAGCCCUGAACGCUGAGAAGGGGACUUGAAGCACGAAAGCAGAGGCCUCCCCCAGAGGGGCCCGAAGCCGAGUCAGAGCAGCCCUGGCGUCUGGUGUCAGCAACCUUUUUUCCCACCAGCCAAAGACAGCAGCAUUCCCAAGCGCAAGAGAAAGCGGGUCUCCGAAGGGAACUCCUUCUCCUCCUCCUCCUCGUCUUCCUCCUCCUCGUCCUCUAACCCAGAGUCCGUGGCGUCUACCAACCAGCUCUCACUCGUGGUAAAGUUGCACAGAUCCGGGCCUGACCGCUCUGCUCUUCGGCCCUCGCCCCGCUUUCGGGCAGGGCCGGCUCCUCUGGGACGUGGGUUUGGGGCGCAGGGAAGCACUGGGUCCGAGCGGGGCUCCGCAGCCUCGGGGUGGCAGUCGCGUCUGCCCGAUCGACCCACCAGAUAGUCCAACCCUGUCACUGGCUGCUCCCGCGUCCCUGCCCUGGGUGGGAAGUCACACCCCCCACUGGGCAGGUGGGCAAGCCGAGCCCCCCCCCCCCGCCUCCGCCCCUGGAGAGGGGACGGGGGACUCCCCUGGGCGGUGCUAGAACGGGGACCCCCGUGCGGUCGCCAGGUUAAUCUCUGCUCACAUCGCAUGCUCUGGGCCUCACCACAGCCCCGUGAGGUUGGAGGCGUUACCCACAGCGUGUGGAGGAGGAAAACAAGGGGCAGAGGCUGGUUGACUGUGGCCUUACUGCGGUCAAGCCUCAUUAGGGACACACACACACACACUCGAGAGUUCUUUCUGACUUCAAAACACUAGCUCGGAAGUCCUGAGUCCCAGUGGAGAGAAUACUGGAACACAUUUGGUGAUGACUUGGAGAUGUCUUUGUCCUUUGACCCUGCUUCCCCCCCCCCUUUUUUUAAGUUUAAUUUUUAUUUUGAGAGCACAAAGAGGGGGAGGGAGGGAGAGAAUCCCAAGCAGGUUCCGCACCGAACAGCACAGAGCCUGACACGGGCCUGGAACCCACAAAACUGUGAGAUCACGACCUGAGCCGGAACCAAGAGUCAGACGCUUGACCAACUGAGCCACCCAGGCGCCUAUAAUCGUGCCUCCCUUUAAACCUGGCAAACCCCAAAGUUCAGGCUGUAGGCUGUACCUUUGUCCCCACCUAGGGGUGCCUCCAGAGGGUCACUGGCUUUUCCCACCUCCAAGAGAUGGGACUGGCUCUUUGGCAUAAGGCCGGGGAGGGGGUGGAGUUUGUGGGCGUGCUCCCCUUCUCUGAGCGAAUCCUCGGUUCCCCCUGGUCCACCGAAUAGCCCCUGGCACACGGGUGGGAGCGAGUCAGAAGGCCCCAGCCCAGGCUCCAGGGCCACUGGCAAAAUGCAUGACCUUGGACGGGUCCCGGCUCCCGUCUGGACCGUCAGGCUGCCUCCAAAUGAAUCCAGUGGGGAAUCCCUUCAGAAAGCAGAGCUAAGUGGUCUGGUGUUCUUUCUGGGUCACCCGGAGUCCUAACUCGGGCCAUUUGUCCCCCUCUCUCUAGCAAUGGCCAAUGUACAUGGUGGACUAUGCCGGCCUGAACGUGCAGCUCCCGGGACCUCUGAAUUAUUAGACCUCAGUGCUGAAUCAGGACCUCACUCAGAAAGACUAAAGGAAAUGUAAUUUAUGUACAAAGUGUAUAUUCGGAUAUGUAUCGAUGCCUUUUAGUUUUUCCAAUGAUUUUUACACUAUAUUCCUGCCACCAAGGCCUUUUUAAAUAAGUAAAAAAAAAAAAAGUAUUGCCCUUGCUCAUAACUUCUGCGUAGUCUCAUUUGGAAUUAACAGCUGUCACUGAGGCGAGGUCAGGAAACCUGGCUCAGACAGCC
RNAcentral lists this long non-coding RNA (2248 nucleotides) under Lynx pardinus (Iberian lynx). Lineage: Eukaryota; Metazoa; Chordata; Mammalia; Carnivora; Felidae. The record is from RNAcentral.